UACGGAGGGUGCAAGCGUUAAUCGGAAUUACUGGGCGUAAAGCGCGCGUAGGCGGUUUUGUAAGCUGGGUGUGAAAGCCCCGGGCUCAACCUGGGAAUUGCAUUCAGAACUGCAAGGCUAGAGUACGGUAGAGGGUGGUAGAAUUUCCUGUGUAGCGGUGAAAUGCGUAGAUAUAGGAAGGAAUACCAGUGGCGAAGGCGGCCACCUGGACUGAUACUGACGCUGAGGUGCGAAAGCGUGGGGAGCAAACAGG
RNAcentral lists this unclassified non-coding RNA (253 nucleotides) under uncultured Gammaproteobacteria bacterium. RNAcentral describes it as "contains 16S-23S intergenic spacer region". It matches the Rfam family "Bacterial small subunit ribosomal RNA", at positions 524 to 776 of the family's 1533-position model. The record is from RNAcentral. Lineage: Bacteria; Pseudomonadati; Pseudomonadota; Gammaproteobacteria.